RNAcentral lists this ribosomal RNA (465 nucleotides) under Vreelandella stevensii. RNAcentral's name for it is "partial 16S ribosomal RNA". It matches the Rfam family "Bacterial small subunit ribosomal RNA", at positions 338 to 795 of the family's 1533-position model. Lineage: Bacteria; Pseudomonadati; Pseudomonadota; Gammaproteobacteria; Oceanospirillales; Halomonadaceae. The record is from RNAcentral.
CCUACGGGGGGCUACAGUGGGGAAUAUUGGACAAUGGGGGCAACCCUGAUCCAGCCAUGCCGCGUGUGUGAAGAAGGCCCUCGGGUUGUAAAGCACUUUCAGUGAGGAAGAACGCCUGGUGGUUAAUACCCAUCAGGAAAGACAUCACUCACAGAAGAAGCACCGGCUAACUCCGUGCCAGCAGCCGCGGUAAUACGGAGGGUGCGAGCGUUAAUCGGAAUUACUGGGCGUAAAGCGCGCGUAGGUGGCUUGAUAAGCCGGUUGUGAAAGCCCCGGGCUCAACCUGGGAACGGCAUCCGGAACUGUCAAGCUAGAGUGCAGGAGAGGAAGGUAGAAUUCCCGGUGUAGCGGUGAAAUGCGUAGAGAUCGGGAGGAAUACCAGUGGCGAAGGCGGCCUUCUGGACUGACACCGACACUGAGGUGCGAAAGCGUGGGUAGCAAACAGGAUUAGAUACCCGUGUAGUC